CAGCCGCCGCGGUAAUACGAACCGUGCGAACGUUAUUCGGAAUCACUGGGCUUAAAGCGCGUGUAGGCGGGCCGCCACGUCGGCCGCUGAAAUCCCCCGGCUCAACCGGGGAAGUGGCACCGAUACGAGCGGCCUCGGGGGGGGUAGGGGGCACUGGAACUUCCGGUGGAGCGGUGAAAUGCGUUGAGAUCGGAAAGAACACCAACGGCGAAAGCACUCUGCUGGGCCGACACUGACACUGAGAGACGAAAGCUAGGGGAGCAAAUGGGAUUAGAUACCCCUGUAGUCCCUGUCUCUUAUA
This 301-nucleotide ribosomal RNA is filed under the name uncultured bacterium. RNAcentral describes it as "partial 16S ribosomal RNA". It matches the Rfam family "Bacterial small subunit ribosomal RNA", at positions 509 to 808 of the family's 1533-position model. The record is from RNAcentral.